This 301-nucleotide ribosomal RNA is filed under the name uncultured bacterium. Its description in RNAcentral is "partial 16S ribosomal RNA". It matches the Rfam family "Bacterial small subunit ribosomal RNA", at positions 509 to 807 of the family's 1533-position model. The record is from RNAcentral.
CAGCCGCCGCGGUAAUACGAAGGGGGCUAGCGUUGUUCGGAUUUACUGGGCGUAGAGGGCGCGUAGGCGGGCGAUUAAGUCAGGGGUGAAAUCCCAAGGCUCAACCUUGGAACUGCCUUUGAUACUGAUUGUCUUGAGUUCAAGAGAGGUAAGUGGAACUGCGAGUGUAGAGGUGAAAUUCGUAGAUAUUCGCAAGAACACCAGUGGCGAAGGCGGCUUACUGGCUCGAUACUGACGCUGAGGCGCGAAAGCGUGGGGAGCAAACAGGAUUAGAUACCCGCGUAGUCCCUGUCUCUUAUAC